CUGACUUCAGCUCAGGUCAUGAUCUCAUGGCUCGUGAGUUCGAACCCCCCAUGGGGCUCUGUGCUGACAGCUUGGAGCCUGGAGCCUGCUACAGAUUCUGUGUCUCCCACUCUCUCUGCUCCUCCUCUGCUUGUGCUCUCUCUCUCUCAAAAAUAAAUAAACAUUGAAAAAAUAUAAAAAUCUUUAUAAAAAGAAAAAAUUUACGUUAGCUGUGAAAGCUUAGCAAAAAAUGGGCGAAACCCUCUUGUGCUUUGAAUUAUGGGUAACAAAAUAUCUCUGUCAUGUUUCAUAUGCUUUUGGCCAUUAUUGCCUGGGAACAUCUAGAAAGAAAUGAGCUCAGAAAGAAAUGUGUUAAUAAAGGUACAUUCUAUUACUGGUGAAAAAAAAAUGAAUGUCUUGUUCAGCGGGAAGAAGGUAGGAGAAAAGAUGCGUGAACUUCAAGGUAAGGUGUACAGGUAGAUUUCUACUCAUUUCAAUGAAUAAAUAAGAACUUGGAGAUACACUUUGUAACAAAAAUUUUAUGCAUAGUUAAGAAACGCAAAAAUCAAACCUGGGUCGUGAUUUAAAAUUUGGUUUAUGGCAAUGAUCACAUUAAAAAUUCUACCAACAAAUCAUUCCUCAAGUAUUCUUGUAAAUUGCCACAGAAAAAAAUGAAGCAUGCUUUUGUCACAGACAACUGAUAAGCUCAAGAUAUUUUAGCUGAGAGACAGAAAAAUUAGGCAUAAUGAAUUGGGGGAUGGACUAAUUCCACCUGGAAAUAAAUGGAAUCAGGUUAAUUGGUUUGUAUUUGUGUGUGUUUUCCUUUGUGUUUUUCUUUACUGAAGUCUCUAGGGUCCCUACAAAUAAGGCCAAGCAAGAUAAGGGACAUUUAAGGAUCUGGUGUGGGGACUUCAGCCAGGAAGCAGAAAUUGAUCUAAUGCUCAGUUAAAAGUCUACCCCAAAACAUCUUCCCAGCUGAAUCUUGUUACUGCUCUGUUCCAUUGGGUGCAGUCUUCUUUAUAUAUAAGAGGGUGUUUGCUACAUGGGUCUGUUCCCUAGUCCAACUGGCUCAUAGCAUGGGCUUUUGUUCUUUGAUGCCUUUUUUUUUUUUUUUAAGUUUAUUUGUUUAUUUUGAGAGAGAGAGAAUCCCAAGCAGGCUCUGCACCAUCAGCAUGGAGCCGGCGCAGGGCUUGAACCCAUGAUAAGUGUUGUCGUGACCUGAGUUGGACCCUUAACUGACUGAACCACCCAGGUGCCCCUGUUCUUUGAUAUCUUUUUUUUAAAUUUUUUUAAAUUUUAUUUAUUUAUUUAUUUAUUUUUUUGAGACAGAGACAGAGCAUGAAUGGGAGAGGGUCAGAGAGGGAGACACAGAAUCUGAAGCAGGCUCCAGGCUCUGAGCUGUCAGCACAGAGCUCAACAUGGGGCUCAAACUCACGGACUGUGAGAUCAUGACCUGAGCCGAAGUCAGACGCUUAACCAACUGAGCCACCCAGGCGCCCCUGUUCUUUGAUAUCUUGAUGAAGGAGUUAUAUUGGGAUCUUCUAGUUGCUUUGAGUGUCAGUGGAGGUUUUGGCUUGGAAAAUACUUCAUAUUGUGUCUGGUGGAGAAAGGUAAGAUAAUUUUGUAUACUUUAGGGAUGGAAGCUAAUCUUGACCAACUAAAUGAACCACCAUAUAUUGAAGAAGAAGGGCCACUUAUUUCACAUACACCCUCAUGGCACCAGCCCCGUCAGGUCAUAUCUUCCGAGGGGACUAUACUUCACAAAUUGAUUUUAGUCUUUGCCCUGUGAUUUCUUUCAGCCAGUGAGAUAUGAGCGGCCUAAUGAAGCAGUCUAUACCAUCUCUGAGCAGAAUCCUUCCAUCGUUUUGAGCCAUUCCUCUUUUUCCUCUUUUCUCACUACUAUGAGCCUGUCCUAGAUAAUGAUGAUCCCAUUAACCUGAAUCCCAGAAGGAUGAGAGAUAGAAUUUUGUUGAGCAGCUGUAGCCUGGAGGGUCUCAGCCCUGAGUGGGGUGCCAGGGGCCACCGUCAAACCCUGCUCCUGAUCCUGCUUGUUCCUUGCUGAUCCCCCCCAUCCCCCAGUCCUCCAUGGUUUGGCUGCUGUUGCCUUUGCAGAAGGACCUUAUAGGAUUUCCACUUAUGCCCAGUGAUUUUGGGACUUGAUAAAAUUCAACGUUAUCACUGAAUCCUGCUGUUGUAAAAUCUGAGGCUCCUUGCUGUCUGGGUGCUACAAGAAGAAAUCAAACUCCAGGGACUAUUCCUGCGAUCUGCGCUCAAGGCCGAGCCCCUUUCCCACUUGCACCCUCUGGUGUUUGGCUCGGUCCCUGGAAGAGUGUGCUCAGAUGUGUCCUCCCUGCAGACACCUGCCCAAGCAUAUGCAUGUUCACAAUCUCCGGGGGCACCUCUUCCUGAGUAAGUGACCAUUUCCCUCCACGAGAGGUUCUCACACUGCAUUUUGGUGCAGUGUGACAGCCAGUAAAACUUAGAGGCAAAACGGCUUUCCAGAGAAUGGAAAAUGAAUGCGAUUUGGGGACGGAUGUCCCAGAUGCAAUGCCAGUUAUGUCAUUAACUUAGACUUGUGAUUGUAAAAAUGGCAACUUAUUUGACCAUGGGCUAAGUGUUUUCCAUAAACUCAUCUCAUUUAACCUGUACAACUCUGUCAGAGGUGAGGAGUUUGAGGGAGCAGGUCUAGGUGACGUGCCCAAAGAUACCCAACUGGGAAGGUACAAAGGGGAGCCUGGUCCCUGGGCUUCAGAGCACAAGCUGACAAUCACCCCUUAAUGUUUUAUAACUUGAAGCUUGUUUGAACUUCCAUCUCCCCAUCUCUACAUGUAACCCUUGCACUAGAGGGGGGCCCUAUGUGGGUUUUGAGCGGCAUGAAGUGGAGAAUAGCACGGGGUUCCUAUGAAAGUCUGUGCUUUCUUGAGUUCUGUGCUUUGCAAAUAUUUGCCAUGACUUCUAGGGAAGAGCUGAGUGUUGAGCGCUUGCAAGUUCCUCCUUGCUAGGGACUAUCCAAACCAGUGGAAAAUCUGGGCUUUGAAGUCCAGUGGGUUUUCUUUUACCAUAAAAGCACCUGAGCUCCUUCCUGCUCAACACUCAGUACAGGAGACAGUGACCACCCCACUGUGUCUCUUUCAGUAACAUUGCUUCCUCUUUCCCUACAACCUUGAGUUUCCUCUACCUUCUACAUGAACUGCAUUACUGUGGAGCCUUUGGCCUGAAACCCACACAUGAGACAGGAGCCGUUUCUAGGAUAAAGCCUGCAUUCUUCAGGGAACAUUCAGCCAGUGGGAACAGCUGGGUCCAGGUUUGGCUCCAAGGAGGCACCACACGUAUGUGAGAGACCCACCAUUACCGUCUGGGCGGGUCUGAGGUUGCAUGGCUGUCUUCCCACUGGAGUCAUUUGUUCAUUUCUUGCUCAAUUUCUGCAACCCUUGAGUGCCUUUCAUGCUCCAGACAGGAGAGAGGGCUCAGCAGGAAUAAGAUAAUCUCUGUUCUUGUCCUUGUAGGGCGGAGGGUGAUGCAGAAAAUACAUGCGAAUAAACAUGGAAAUAAGAUGAUUUCAGAAAGGAUGAGCACUAUGAGGCCAUACGUGGGGUGAAGUGAUAGAGAGGAAUGGAUGAACAUAGCCACUAGUCUGUGGGGGUCAGGAAAGGGCGCCCUUCAAGAAGACAGGACCAGAGUGGGUGUCGAAAUGAAGGAGGCAGCACCCACCCAUCUGGGGAAAGGUGUUCCUAGUGGAAGAAAUGACACGAGUGGGCUUGAGAUGCUGGUUGGACAGAAGGAUGGUCAGUGGCUGUGUAGGAGGGGCGUGGGCCUGCACAUGUCUGGACCAGGACACGCAUCACCUCACGGGUCACUGGAGCAUGGAUUUGAAUCUCAGUGUGAUUUAGAGGCAUUGGUGGGCUUUUAGCAUCAUGGCCUGAUGGUCUCAUUUAGGGUCUUAAGCUGUUUCCAUUUGCUGUACAGUUGUAAAGUGGAGAUGGUUCAGGGAAGGAGGGAGUAGGGGUUGACUGCUGGCCUCUGAGGUCCUUUCCAUCCCUAAAUCCAUGCCUGUGAUGGGGCAGGGUGGUACAGGACACAGGACUGGGAAGAGAGUCGGGGUCCUGGAAAGGCAUUGUCGCCUUCAUAAUUUUGCAUGGGUCAGGUCCUAGGUGAAGAGUUGCUGGGCUUGACCUUUGAACCCAGUCAGGGCUCCCCUGGGGCGCCUUUCAGAGUCAAGGUUAACGUUGCCUCUCAGUACCCUCAGGAGUGCAGGUUGAGCAGGGUGGAAGCAGGUGGCCUCAGGGUUAAAUCUGAUUCACAUUCACAUCAGGAGCAAAAUAAUCCACAAUUCUCAAUGUUGUAAUUUUGUCAGGUCUCCUAUUGAGAUGUUGUGUAAUCACUUUAUACAAUGGCAAUAAAACCAGAAGAGAAGCAUCAAAAUUAUUUUAAGAGAAAGGCAAAAUGAAAUACUGGUUUCCUGGAUUAUUUUAGAAGACUUCCUAAAAACAACAAAAACUGUAAUUAUGCUGUUUGCAAAUAGAAUAAAAUGAAGCAAUUAACUUAGUGUCACAUUGAAAUAAUCUACAACUAUAGAACAUUAUCUACGAAGUAUGAACCCCAUGUGGUUUUCAUUUUAGACAUUACAUAAUCACUUAAUAGCAAUAAAACUUAAAUAGUAUUAGAAAAUGAUUUUAGUGGAGAGAAUAAGAACAUUUUGCUGUGGUUCUGGUUCUGUAAUUGUAGGAUCAAUGGAAAAUGGGGUCAACUGGGUGGUGAUUCACUUCUGUUUUCAGGUGGUGUGGACAGCCUUUGGUGCAGAGACAUUUCCUGUGGCUGAUGGAGGAUGGGGAGAAAAUGUGGGGCCAGUGAAGCCCCUUGUUGGAGAAGAUUCCUAGGCUAUUUUUUUUCUGAAUUUCUGGCAUGGGGGAAGACUGGAGAGUCCUAUUCCCCCUGAGCUAUCCGCUUAAGCUUUUCUAAAACAUGUGAAGUCUGACAAGGGACGAAGGGGAAAACCAGAGUCUAGG
Molecule: long non-coding RNA, 4985 nt
Organism: Acinonyx jubatus (cheetah)
Lineage: Eukaryota; Metazoa; Chordata; Mammalia; Carnivora; Felidae
Exons: 5
Source: RefSeq, a predicted model, not a curated record